Molecule: long non-coding RNA, 228 nt
Filed under: Homo sapiens (human)
Lineage: Eukaryota; Metazoa; Chordata; Mammalia; Primates; Hominidae
Description: non-protein coding lnc-STX10-1:1
Source: RNAcentral
CGAAUAGGCCCAGACAGAACUCCGACACCGCCCCCUACGGUGCGGCACGAGAGGGCUAAGGGGCGGGGGCAUGUGCACCGGAAGCUGCCUCUGCCCACAACCAAGAUGGCUGAGGAGAGGGCGGAAGUGUCCGCACGUCGGGCCUCCGAGGCUUCUCUUUCUCCCCUGGCGGUCCGGCUCUCGAUGGUGGCGUGACGGGGGCGGGGGUGGCGGCGCGUUCUCCUCGGU